AUACGGAGGAUCCGAGCGUUAUCCGGAUUUAUUGGGUUUAAAGGGAGCGUAGGUGGACAGUUAAGUCAGUUGUGAAAGUUUGCGGCUCAACCGUAAAAUUGCAGUUGAUACUGGCUGUCUUGAGUACAGUAGAGGUGGGCGGAAUUCGGGGGGUAGCGGUGAAAUGCUUAGAUAUCACGAAGAACUCCGAUUGCGAAGGCAGCUCACUGGACUGCAACUGACACUGAUGCUCGAAAGUGUGGGUAUCAAACAGGAUUAGAUACCCUGGUAGUCCACACAGUAAACGAUGAAUACUCGCUGUUUGCGAUAUACAGUAAGCGGCCAAGCGAAAGCAUUAAGUAUUCCACCUGGGGAGUACGCCGGCAACGGUGAAACUCAAAGGAAUUGGCGGGG
This 393-nucleotide ribosomal RNA is filed under the name uncultured bacterium. Its description in RNAcentral is "partial 16S ribosomal RNA". It matches the Rfam family "Bacterial small subunit ribosomal RNA", at positions 523 to 918 of the family's 1533-position model. The record is from RNAcentral.